Molecule: ribosomal RNA, 1633 nt
Filed under: Salmonella enterica
Lineage: Bacteria; Pseudomonadati; Pseudomonadota; Gammaproteobacteria; Enterobacterales; Enterobacteriaceae
Description: partial 23S ribosomal RNA
Rfam family: Bacterial large subunit ribosomal RNA
Source: RNAcentral
CAUGCACCGAAGCUGCGGCAGCGACGCUUAUGCGUUGUUGGGUAGGGGAGCGUUCUGUAAGCCUGCGAAGGUGGCCUGUGAGGGUUGCUGGAGGUAUCAGAAGUGCGAAUGCUGACAUAAGUAACGAUAAAGCGGGUGAAAAGCCCGCUCGCCGGAAGACCAAGGGUUCCUGUCCAACGUUAAUCGGGGCAGGGUGAGUCGACCCCUAAGGCGAGGCCGAAAGGCGUAGUCGAUGGGAAACGGGUUAAUAUUCCCGUACUUGGUGUUACUGCGAAGGGGGGACGGAGAAGGCUAUGUUGGCCGGGCGACGGUUGUCCCGGUUUAAGCGUGUAGGUGUGUGUUCCAGGUAAAUCCGGUUCACUUUAACACUGAGGCGUGACGACGAGGCACUACGGUGCUGAAGCAACAAAUGCCCUGCUUCCAGGAAAAGCCUCUAAGCAUCAGGUAACAUCAAAUCGUACCCCAAACCGACACAGGUGGUCAGGUAGAGAAUACCAAGGCGCUUGAGAGAACUCGGGUGAAGGAACUAGGCAAAAUGGUGCCGUAACUUCGGGAGAAGGCACGCUGACACGUAGGUGAAGUGAUUUACUCAUGGAGCUGAAGUCAGUCGAAGAUACCAGCUGGCUGCAACUGUUUAUUAAAAACACAGCACUGUGCAAACACGAAAGUGGACGUAUACGGUGUGACGCCUGCCCGGUGCCGGAAGGUUAAUUGAUGGGGUCAGCGCAAGCGAAGCUCCUGAUCGAAGCCCCGGUAAACGGCGGCCGUAACUAUAACGGUCCUAAGGUAGCGAAAUUCCUUGUCGGGUAAGUUCCGACCUGCACGAAUGGCGUAAUGAUGGCCAGGCUGUCUCCACCCGAGACUCAGUGAAAUUGAACUCGCUGUGAAGAUGCAGUGUACCCGCGGCAAGACGGAAAGACCCCGUGAACCUUUACUAUAGCUUGACACUGAACAUUGAGCCUUGAUGUGUAGGAUAGGUGGGAGGCUUUGAAGUGUGGACGCCAGUCUGCAUGGAGCCGACCUUGAAAUACCACCCUUUAAUGUUUGAUGUUCUAACGUGGACCCGUUACCCGGGUUGCGGACAGUGUCUGGUGGGUAGUUUGACUGGGGCGGUCUCCUCCUAAAGAGUAACGGAGGAGCACGAAGGUUGGCUAAUCCUGGUCGGACAUCAGGAGGUUAGUGCAAUGGCAUAAGCCAGCUUGACUGCGAGCGUGACGGCGCGAGCAGGUGCGAAAGCAGGUCAUAGUGAUCCGGUGGUUCUGAAUGGAAGGGCCAUCGCUCAACGGAUAAAAGGUACUCCGGGGAUAACAGGCUGAUACCGCCCAAGAGUUCAUAUCGACGGCGGUGUUUGGCACCUCGAUGUCGGCUCAUCACAUCCUGGGGCUGAAGUAGGUCCCAAGGGUAUGGCUGUUCGCCAUUUAAAGUGGUACGCGAGCUGGGUUUAGAACGUCGUGAGACAGUUCGGUCCCUAUCUGCCGUGGGCGCUGGAGAACUGAGGGGGGCUGCUCCUAGUACGAGAGGACCGGAGUGGACGCAUCACUGGUGUUCGGGUUGUCAUGCCAAUGGCACUGCCCGGUAGCUAAAUGCGGAAGAGAUAAGUGCUGAAAGCAUCUAAGCACGAAACUUGCCCCGA